This is a small nucleolar RNA of Nomascus leucogenys (northern white-cheeked gibbon), 197 nucleotides long. Its record names the gene U3. It matches the Rfam family "Small nucleolar RNA U3". Rfam says of the family: Small nucleolar RNAs (snoRNAs) are involved in the processing and modification of rRNA in the nucleolus. There are two main classes of snoRNAs: the box C/D class, and the box H/ACA class. U3 snoRNA is a member of the box C/D class. NCBI's taxonomy places the organism in Eukaryota, Metazoa, Chordata, Mammalia, Primates, Hylobatidae. The record is from Ensembl.
AAUUGUAUACUUUUGGGGAUUAUUCCAUAGUUUGUUACUAGAGAAGUUUCUUUAGAUGUGCUGGAAACCACGAGGAGGAGGCGCAGCAUUCUCUCUUGACCAUGAAGCCAGCUCUUGGUGUUGUUUCACUGCAACUGUCAUUUGCCAUUGAUGAUUGUUCUGGGAGAGUGAGAGGGAGGGGACACAGUGUGAGCGGU